CCCCCAAAUCCAGGCGUGGAUUUUGGCUACGAGGGCCAGGAGCUGCUGUUCCGCAACCUGGAUUUUGGGAUCGACAUGGAAUCCCGAGUUUGCAUCGUGGGCCCCAACGGGGUGGGGAAGAGCACCCUGCUGCAGCUGCUGACCGGGGCCCUGACACCGCUCCGGGGGCAGAUGAGGCGGAACCAUCGCCUGGUAAAGGGGG
Non-coding RNA from Pseudopodoces humilis (Tibetan ground-tit), 202 nucleotides. The record is from RefSeq and is a predicted model, not a curated record. Lineage: Eukaryota; Metazoa; Chordata; Aves; Passeriformes; Paridae.